Molecule: transfer RNA, 74 nt
Filed under: Leuconostoc mesenteroides
Lineage: Bacteria; Bacillati; Bacillota; Bacilli; Lactobacillales; Lactobacillaceae
Also listed under: 22 other names
Description: tRNA-Trp
Rfam family: tRNA
About the family: Transfer RNA (tRNA) molecules are approximately 80 nucleotides in length.
Source: RNAcentral
AGGGAUAUAGUUUAAUGGUAGAAUAGCGGUCUCCAAAACCGUUGAUGGGGGUUCGAUUCCCUCUAUCCCUGCCA